Molecule: long non-coding RNA, 3206 nt
Filed under: Dromaius novaehollandiae (emu)
Lineage: Eukaryota; Metazoa; Chordata; Aves; Casuariiformes; Dromaiidae
Description: lncRNA (ENSDNVG00000006788.1)
Source: RNAcentral
AGGCAACUUUUGGGCCGGGCGGGUGCCCAGAGCUGAGCAUCUGUUCGACAGAUGUGGAGCCCAGCAGGAGGGGAAGGCAGGGAGGCGAUGGAGGUACGUGGACUUCACAUGACUCUGCUCCCUCCCUGCCAGGCAGGGACCUGCCGAGCCCCGGAGAAGGCACAAAUCACAGAGGAGCCCUUUGAAAGUCCUUAAGGAAAACUUCGACAAACUCUGUCUCCGCCAGCUUUCGACUCAGGCCCCCCUGCCGCCUUCAUCGCCACUGAGCUCACRCCAGGGGACAGGAAUUUCGCGUGGGGACCUUGCUCCCUGCCCUGGAGCGGCUGGGUUGUGCUGUCGGCUGCGCCCAAGCGUGCAACCGGGGCAGCCUGGAGCCUGCGAUGGAGGGAGCCGAGCCAGGGUUGCAAGAGACAGAGCUGCGAUGUCGGCAGGGACAACGGAGCCUGUGUGCCACUGCUCACGCCGAGGACCGUUCUGCUGCAUGGCGCACCCGGGGUGCGUGCACACCCUGCACCAACCAGUUUGGCACCGGCGGUGCCCACGCUGAGGUUUGUGAUGGGGGUAGCAGGAGGAUCCUGCCAGGACACUGGAUCAAAGAGCUGAUGCCAUCAUUGUCUCUGUUCUGGAGCAAGCCUGAAGAGGAUCCAUGGGCUCUUCUCAGGGGAUAUGAACCAUGGGAGACCCUUCAUCACUUCACUGCAUCUCUGGGGCUUUCAAAAUCCCUGACCUACCACCACACACCGAGGUCUCCCUGUGGCUGGGAGCCAUGUGAGAUGGAUGUAUAUGCAGCAGAGCCCCUGGAAAGUGGGCUGUAGGUGGGAGAUGACACCCACUCCUAUGUCCCACCAUUAUGAGAUGAGCUGGGUGCCAGGUGAGGCACAGCUGCAGCCCUAGCUGGCCCAGAUUCUCAGACUGGCCAUUGCAGCAUGGCUCUAUGGGAUGUCAAGGACUUUGCUGCAGGAGUCAUAGGUGGUUUUGCUAGUUGGGGAUGUGCAGAAACUCCCCAAGGUCCUCCUGCCCCAAGGACCUGUGUACUACAGGACCUGACACUCUACCUGGAGCUCAGCUCUCUACUCAGUAGGGCUGCCUCCUAUCUCGUCCUGACUAGGAGGAAGCAUCCUUGGUUAGCAAGAAGUCAAGAUCUCAGCUCCCACCCCUGUACCCCGUAGAGUUUGUGAGAACUUGGGCAGUGCCAGUGUCUCCUGCAUGGAGGGGAACAUCUCUCUCUUCCCUGGCCCCUUGUCAUCACCCCAACUCCUUCAGCAUUCGCAGCAUACCCCCAUCCUCCAGCACACCCCGCUGCGAGGCAACAAGGAGCAUGUGCCCUGGUCAAGCAGCGGUGUCUUUCCUUUUAAUCAAGGAUGAGGCCUGAUUAUUCCUGGUGCACAUGUAGGUGCCUCCAUAUUCAAUCCAGGCAACAUUUGCUUGCCGCAAAGUUCACACCAAUCCGCUAUGGCUCCUGCUUAAUCAGGGACUUGUUGCUGUGCCAAGACCGGUUUCAGCACUGCGUCAAGAUGUUUUAAGGCCAGAGAAGUCAGGAUUUGUGAGAAAUAGGUCGGCCUGUGACAGCAGAAGGAGGCUACUAAAUACAAGACACUAUGUUAUCGGGGGAAAAAAAUGCUGAGGCCUUUGCAUUGCAGGAAGGGGAGGGAGCGACUGGCGCGGCUGCAGACCCAGCAUUAAUAUUCAGCCUUUGGAUGAUGACUUGUCAAUAACAGCAGCUGAGCAGGGGCUUAGCAGAGGCAACAGGUACCAGCCCAGGCCGGCGGGUUUGCAGUCUGGAACCAGCUGGGGCUGCAUCUCCUUGCCUGGACACCGGCACCGACAGCCACCACGAAUCCUCUGUCCUGGGGGGGGGUUAUGUGCCCCCCCCACCCCUCCUUCCCCUGACACAUUGUGAGUGGAUGUAGUACUCGUGAUGCCAGCCAGGUGGUACCACGGGCAGCAGGGAGACAAGAUCCCGCUGUCUUGUUGUUUCCCUCCAGCCUGCCCCACAGCCUUCUUGCUCUUCUGCUCCAGGGCUGAGUGUUAAGAUCUUGCAAAGCAGGAAGGGUUCCCUGCCAUCUCCUGCCUUGUGUUUGAGAUCUUUUGGCUUGCUCUUCCUGUGAGUGCCCUGGCUGGACACUGUGUCCCAAGCCUGCAGCCCUCUCCCCAAGGCCAAGCAAGUCUGGCAGGCCUGUUGGGGCCAGAGGAGCUGCUAGCUUGUAUCUCACUGAUAGGCAACAGGCAAACCUAUGAGGUUAUACCAAACGCAGGAAGGAUAUAGGAACAGGACAAGCACAGAUGAAACCUUCCAGAGUAUUCAGCCCCUUUUCCCAGAUGUGCCAGUUUAGUGCCACCUACUUUCUGGCCUUUCCUGUUCUCUUCUUCCUUGCCAAAAAGGGAUGGUGCCCAGGGUAUUUCACAAGACCAUCUUCUAUGGUCAGGGUUUCUCUGGGACAGGAACAAGACAGUAAGAGCAUCUCCCCUUUUCUUUCCCAGAUGUGCCACAAUAUAGCAUUAUUUUAUCCUGGCAGGGCCCUGGCUGACCCUGGGUUUCUGCCUUCUCUCACCUGCCCUAGACAUUGCUGAGAAAAUUUAUGUUAUCUUCAGGGACAUGAGGUCUGGGCAGGCGGGCAAUACCAGUACCCAUUGCUCUUCCAGCCCUGCAGGCCAAGGACAGCAGCACUGGAAGUCAUCUGAGCCCUGCCUCCUCCAAGCUGAUCAGUGGGAACCAAGGACUAGGGCCUCAAGGAGUACAUCCUGCUUGACCUUUAUGGUCAUUAAUUUCUUCAUUUUAUCUCACUUGCUGACACUGUUCUUUUUAAAGCUCCAUCUGCUGUAGGUAAUGCUACCUCCAGCAGUGGCAUGGCCACGAGCCUCCGCACCUCCAGUGGAUUCAGUUUCCCAGCGAGGGAGCAGACAUGCCAGGAGAUCAGAGCCUACAAAGGACUCAUAUGUCCUGCACCUUCCUCCUUCCUCUCUUGCAAAGCUGGACAGCGCUGAACCCCUGACAGUGAGCAGGAGAGCUUGGUGUGGCUCAGAAGCUCUCAGCUAUGACCUACUCAUUGCUGCAGUCUUCCAGAUGCUCCCACUCAUGUGACAGUGGUGACACAUUUCCUUUGACAUCCUUCCACCUUGCCAUCACAGACACAGGUCUCCCUUCCAAAGCUGCAAACCAGAAGCUUUACAGAAAUAAAAAUCGCUGCAUAAUUCCCUGGGAAUCA